CGCGGUAAUACAGAGGGUGCGAGCGUUGUUCGGAAUCACUGGGCGUAAAGCGCGCGCAGGCGGGACUUGCAAGUCGGGAGUGAAAGGCCGGGGCUCAACCGAGGAAUUGCACUCGAUACUGGCAGGCUAGAGUCAAGCAGAGGGAAGUGGAAUUCCCGGUGUAGCGGUGAAAUGCGCAGAUAUCGGGAAGAACACCGGUGGCGAAGGCGGCUUCCUGGGCUUGUACUGACGCUGAGGAGCGAAAGCUAGGGGAGCGAACAGG
Molecule: ribosomal RNA, 262 nt
Filed under: uncultured bacterium
Lineage: Bacteria
Description: partial 16S ribosomal RNA
Rfam family: Bacterial small subunit ribosomal RNA
Source: RNAcentral